UUGGAGGGCAAGUCUGGUGCCAGCAGCCGCGGUAAUUCCAGCUCCAAUAGCGUAUAUUAAAGUUGUUGCAGUUAAAAAGCUCGUAGUUGAACUUCGGGGUCUACCCAUUGGUCAGGCUUAAUUGUCUGUACUGGUGAGAUGGAUCUCUACCUUCUGAGGAACUUUCAUGCAUUUAUUUGGUGUGGUUGGAAAUCAGGACUGUUACUUUGAAAAAAUUAGAGUGUUUAAAGCAGACUAUCGUCUGAAUACAUUAGCAUGGAAUAAUGAAAUAGGACGGACUGAUUCUAUUUCGUUGGUUUCUAGGAUCACCGUAAUGAUUAAUAGGGAUAGUUGGGGGCAUUAGUAUUCAAUUGUCAGAGGUGAAGUUCUUGGAUUUAUUGAAGACUAACUACUGCGAAAGCAUUUGCCAAGGAUGUUUUCAUUAAUCAAGAACGAAAGUUAGGGGAUCGAAGACGAUCAGAUACCGUCGUAGUCUUAACCAUAAACUAUGCCGACUAGGGAUCGGACGAAGUUAAUUUUAUAAUGACGCGUUCGGCACCUUACGGGAAACCAAAGUGUUUGGGUUC
Molecule: ribosomal RNA, 566 nt
Filed under: uncultured Glomeromycotina
Lineage: Eukaryota; Fungi; Glomeromycota
Description: SSU rRNA
Rfam family: Eukaryotic small subunit ribosomal RNA
Source: RNAcentral